CACCAGAAGUGGUUAGCCUAACGCAAGAGGGCGAUCACCACGGUGUGGUUCAUGACUGGGGUGAAGUCGUAACAAGGUAGCCGUAGGGGAACCUGCGGCUGGAUCACCUCCUUA
This 114-nucleotide ribosomal RNA is filed under the name Vreelandella titanicae. RNAcentral's name for it is "partial 16S ribosomal RNA". It matches the Rfam family "Bacterial small subunit ribosomal RNA", at positions 1418 to 1533 of the family's 1533-position model. The record is from RNAcentral. RNAcentral also lists the same sequence under 1 other name. Lineage: Bacteria; Pseudomonadati; Pseudomonadota; Gammaproteobacteria; Oceanospirillales; Halomonadaceae.